This 355-nucleotide ribosomal RNA is filed under the name uncultured bacterium. RNAcentral describes it as "bacterial SSU rRNA". It matches the Rfam family "Bacterial small subunit ribosomal RNA", at positions 527 to 881 of the family's 1533-position model. The record is from RNAcentral.
GUAGGGGGCAAGCGUUAUCCGGAUUUACUGGGUGUAAAGGGAGCGUAGACGGAUGGACAAGUCUGAUGUGAAAGGCUGGGGCUCAACCCCGGGACUGCAUUGGAAACUGCCCGUCUUGAGUGCCGGAGAGGUAAGCGGAAUUCCUAGUGUAGCGGUGAAAUGCGUAGAUAUUAGGAGGAACACCAGUGGCGAAGGCGGCUUACUGGACGGUAACUGACGUUGAGGCUCGAAAGUGUGGGGAGCAAACAGGAUUAGAUACCCUGGUAGUCCACGCGGUAAACGAUGAAUGCUAGGUGUCGGGGAGCAAAGCUCUUCGGUGCCGCCGCAAACGCAUUAAGCAUUCCACCUGGGGAGU